Long non-coding RNA from Panicum virgatum (switchgrass), 2384 nucleotides. RefSeq lists it as uncharacterized. NCBI's taxonomy places the organism in Eukaryota, Viridiplantae, Streptophyta, Magnoliopsida, Poales, Poaceae. The record is from RefSeq and is a predicted model, not a curated record. The transcript is spliced from 3 exons.
UUCCUGGGCGACGAAAUUUGAAUUUCGUCUGCAGAACAAACGACAAUAGCCUAGUUUUGAAAUUUCUCAGAUCCAAAGUAUAGCCUAGUUUUGAAAUUUCUCAGAUCCAAAGUAUUAUUUCGUAAUUUUAGUAAAAAAUUGUAUUAAAAAAAAUAAAAAACUCUGUUUUUUUAAAGAGACCGUGGUUUGCUUUUACUCUUUUAUUAGUAGGUAUGGUCGCAUGGAGGCGGAGCCAUUGUUUUUGGGUGAAUGUUUUGCGCCGGUGCCGGCCCGGGCAGGUAUUGUUGCUGCCGUCAGAUGGUUUUUCGAGAUCCGCGCAUCUUGCCAGGCGCGGUGCCUCACGGCCAGCGGUGCCUCGCGUGCCAGAGGCACAAAUCUACUGCCGGGCCCAGUUGUCAGAUCAUUCCUCUUCCUCAAACCGCCGCCUGUCUGCUACUCUGUUUCCUCGAGCACCAUUCUUUCCUGCCUCUUCCCCUUCAAUCUCUCUUCCCCUUCCCCAAUCCAUCACCCCCUGCCACUACCACCAUGGAUGCUGUAUGCGCGCCCCAUUGUGUGCAGCGAUUUGAGGAACCCGUUUUCCCCGCUUGGUCCGCAACCUCAAGAAUGCCCCGGAAUCCUGGGCGCAAAUCCGGGUGGUAUGAGCAUUAGUGAGCAGAAUGCCUUUUGAGUUGUAUUGGUACUCUUCGCCAUCGGGGUAUAUGUUGCCUCGAUCCGGGUUUCUCUACCCAUUCCAUUUGCCUUUUUCUGGGGUUCUCUACCCAUUCCAUUUGCCUUUUUCUGGAUCUUUUGAAGUUGUUGUUGUAGAUUCAGAACCAGCAAGGAAAUUUGUUUCAAUGGAGUAAGCCACCGCUCUCCAGAUGGUUUCCCUUCAUGAUCGAUUCAUUCUUCUGAAUCUUCAACUAUCAGAUGGGGAACCAAAUUGUGAGUGGUUGACCUGAAUGUAAAUUCAGUCAGUGGUAGCAAGGAACAAGGUGAGUCCUCCAAUGUAUAUUCAGGAGUUCCAAGCAUGGAUUAUGGUGCAGAAAGUUAGCUGGGUGAGCAGAACAGUUCAAGCAUCGGCAAAGUUCAUCAAGCUCCAUCUUCAUCCAUUUGGCAAACAUUUUUUUCUAAUUAGACAAUCAUUUGAACAAUGCUUAUCUUUUUUGUUUGGUUAAUGUGCAAUAUGUAUUCUCUGUUGGCAAGCGUGGAAAAUGAUGGUGAUAUCUCCAUCGGAGGUUCAGUUGGCGAAGGGAUUGGGAACCAGGAUGGAGCAGGGCAUCAUGUUUUACAAACUGUAGAUGAAGGGAAUCUUUGCACCAACCUGACAAUGAUCAAUACAGAUAAUGCAUCUCAACCAUGGCCAAAGUGGUAUUGACUUACUAAUGUUUUUUUUUGUGAAAAACCAUUGAAUUCAUAUCAGCAUUGAUUAACUGAACUGCAUUUGAUCCUGUUAAUGGAUAGACCAACAAGGAUAACAUUACAAAUUCGAUGUAGCUAGGCUGUAAUGUUUCCAAGAAAAAAAUUAUUUUCAAUGCAGUUGUCUGAUCCUUAGCCAAUCAGAUAGCCUUCGCGGAAUGCUUGGAAUGGCAUAUAUUGAAUUGCACAUGAUGUUAUCAGUUAGACAGUGAGCUCCUUAUGUAUACAUGAACCAUCUGAAUCCUAUUUUAUUUGUGUGUGUAGCGAUGUGAUACUAACCCAGCAGAGUUUUUUCUAUCAUUGCCCAUAUUUUUAUUGUAGUAAGAGGUUGAGGCACCUCAAGGGUGCACCCCAAGUUAGAUGGGUGCCGUCUAGAGGGCGCUGUGCAAUGCUUAUAAUAAAAAUGGUGAAUAUAUAUAUUUGAGCUACCACCAGGGAUGACUUUUAACAGCUUCAAUGAAGCCCAUGAGUAUAUACUCUUGGGAGGAUGGAUUUAGUGCCAAGGAGAUAAAUAUGGGAAAUUAAUGCAUGAAUUCCAAUUCCAAUGCCAGUGCCACGGUUCUGACAAUUGAGAAGGUGACCAAAAAGAAGAAGAAAAAAUUUACAAGUGUUGAGCCAAUUGCAGCCUUGAUGAUCAGAUCAUAAAGAUGUCGGAAUGUAUAGCCAAUAUUGUUGGUAUUACUGUCUUAUUGACACAAUGGUGUAGACAUUGUAUCUGCUAGAGUUCUUGAUAUGUAGACGACCUUAAGCAAGCAGAUGGUGUUUUUGUCAUUCAAGGUCCUACGAACAUUGCAUAUGUAGGUCCUAGGGGCCAUUAACAUGGUUCGCCGCUAGUUUGAUGAUUUAGCUAAUUCCGGAUGGAUGGAGAACUUAAUCUUUCUUGUUGCUGUCACAACUGUAGCUGAUGUUGUACCAAUUAAUGUGCUUCUAUCACAUUUCAUUUGAUGUGUUACCAACCAGGACGCUGGCCGUGCAAAUUUGGUUGGUUA